This is a long non-coding RNA of Passer domesticus (house sparrow), 779 nucleotides long. RefSeq lists it as uncharacterized. The record is from RefSeq and is a predicted model, not a curated record. Lineage: Eukaryota; Metazoa; Chordata; Aves; Passeriformes; Passeridae. The transcript has 3 exons.
CUAUCAGCCUGUUUCAAAGAACCGGCUCCCUAGCCUCUUGUAUUUUGACUAGAAUAGAUUCAGCAAAACAGCAGAAGGAUAGUCUGGACAGCUGAGAAUGUGCGUGGCCCGUGGGUCACAGCAUUAUAAGGAGAUAAAAGGAACUGAGAAAUUCAUCAAUGUGAGUUUAUCAGAAGAAAAUCAGCAUUGCAGAUGGCACAGGCUGAGAAAGAUCAGGACACAUUUCCGACAUGAAAUCUGCAAGCAUAGCCAUGUGGUACUUCAUUGCUACUUAAUGAAAGAGACAGAACCGAGGAAAAUCUUCCCAAGUCUCUCAGACAUCAGCUGAAAACAGAUGAGCUGGGAAUACAGGUUGAAUACCUUUUGCAGCUCUUCCUUUGGACAAGUUCACCAAGUUCAGGAAAUACCUUGGGAACAAUUCAUGUCAGUGUGUCUGUAUUGCUUCUGUCAUUAGCAUGAAGAGCCUCAAAGUAAUCUAAGUCAAUGAUCUGAUUACUAAUAAAGAGCAGCACUGGAUACAGGUCAGACAUGUGCUUUGUAUUUCCCUUCCUUUUCAUAUUUCACAGUAUUAAACAGUACUGUGAAGAGAGAAAUCUUGCUACUAGCAAGAGAUGUAUCUGUAUACCUAUACUUCUCAUCAACCUAAUCAACAUCAUGCAUUUCAUGCAAUUCAAGCAUUCAUGUAAAGCAUAUGUAACUCAUUAGAAAAAAUGGAGUUUCAUCCACAUUCACUCGGUUAUGUCCCCUCUUCACUGUAAAUCCUGAAACAAAUGGGAAAA